Molecule: ribosomal RNA, 253 nt
Filed under: uncultured bacterium
Lineage: Bacteria
Description: partial 16S ribosomal RNA
Rfam family: Bacterial small subunit ribosomal RNA
Source: RNAcentral
UACGUAGGGAGCAAGCGUUGUCCGGAAUCAUUGGGCGUAAAGCGCGCGUAGGUGGCUUCGUAAGUCCGUUGUGAAAGUCAAAGGCUCAACCUUUGAAAGCCGAUGGAUACUGCGGAGCUAGAGUACGGAAGAGGCGAGUGGAAUUCCUGGUGUAGCGGUGGAAUGCGCAGAUAUCAGGAGGAACACCAAUAGCGAAGGCAGCUCGCUGGGACGUUACUGACGCUGAGGAGCGAAAGCGUGGGGAGCGAACAGG